AAUAUAUAUAUAAGGCCUGUUUGGCCUAGCUUAUGAAAAAGUGAUUUUGAUUUAGAGAAGUGAUCUUGAUUAAACGCUGUAGAGCGUUUGGCUGAGUUUAGAUAAAAAUAUUUUUUUCGAAAUAAUUUUGAAAAACUUUUUGGUAAAUUUUUUUUGAUGUUCGCAUCAAUUAAUAUUUUUAUUAAAUUUUAUUUUAAAAUAAUUUAAAAUCUAAAGUUAAAUUAGAAUUAAAAUUAAAAUUUUUAAUUUCCAAAAUAGUAAAAAAUUUAAAAUUUGAUAUUUUAAUUUAAAAAAUAAUUUAAAAUUUUAAAAACUUAAAAUAUAAAAUAAUUAUAAAAUUUAAAAUUCAAAAAUAUAAAUUUAUAUUUAAAAAUAUAUAUAAUUAUUAAAUUUAAAAUAUAAAUUUUAAUAUUCCAAAAUAUAAAUUUAAAUUAAAAUUUCAAACUUUCAAUUUAAAAUUUAAAAUUUAAAAUUUAAAAUUUAAAAUCUAAAUUCUAAAUUUGAAAUUUAAAAAUUAAAAAUUUAAAAAUUUAAAAAUAUAAAUAUUAUAAAAUAUAAAAUAUAAAAUAUUUAUAUUUAAAAAUAUAUUUAAAUUUUAAAUUUCAAAGUUUAAAUUUAAAAUUUAAAAUUUAAAAUAGUUAUGAAAUUUAAAAUAAAAAAUAUAAAAUUA
This 670-nucleotide long non-coding RNA is filed under the name Ananas comosus (pineapple). RNAcentral describes it as "long non-coding RNA (ACOM_LNC041305)". The record is from RNAcentral. Lineage: Eukaryota; Viridiplantae; Streptophyta; Magnoliopsida; Poales; Bromeliaceae.